This 292-nucleotide ribosomal RNA is filed under the name uncultured bacterium. RNAcentral's name for it is "partial 16S ribosomal RNA". The record is from RNAcentral.
GGACUACACGGGUAUCUAAUCCUGUUUGCUCCCCACGCUUUCGCGUCUCAGCGUCAGUCACUGUCCAGAAGGCCGCCUUCGCCACCGGUGUUCCUCUCGAUAUCUACGAAUUUCACCUCUACACCGAGAAUUCCGCCUUCCUCUCCAGGACUCGAGUUCUGCAGUUUCGAGUGCACUUCCCAGGUUGAGCCCGGGGCUUUCACACCCGACUUGCAGAACAGCCUACACGCGCUUUACGCCCAGUAAUUCCGAACAACGUUUGCACCCUCUGUCUUACCGCGGCUGCUGGCAC